UUUUGGAAACCGAGCUCCCGAGUGUUGAUAUGGCAACGGAUGCAAACUGUACAGGGAACUUGUUCGGCCCAACGAAAUGUCCGCAGAACGUACAACAUGACGAGAUCAAUCAUCAACAUAGUGUGUCGCACACCCAAGCACCCGAACCUCCAAUUGACCGUAUAGAGGCUGCAGCAUCCGAUGAGCACUCAGACAACCCAUUACAUGGUACAGAUGGUGCUAUUAUUGCUGAAAUUGAUGAGACAAUGACAUCAAAUUCUAGAACUUCGUGCACAGAUGAGUGGAUUAUAGCUG
This 294-nucleotide long non-coding RNA is filed under the name Olea europaea (common olive). Its description in RNAcentral is "long non-coding RNA (OEUR_LNC012131)". The record is from RNAcentral. Lineage: Eukaryota; Viridiplantae; Streptophyta; Magnoliopsida; Lamiales; Oleaceae.